RNAcentral lists this ribosomal RNA (253 nucleotides) under uncultured bacterium. RNAcentral describes it as "partial 16S ribosomal RNA". It matches the Rfam family "Archaeal small subunit ribosomal RNA", at positions 474 to 727 of the family's 1478-position model. The record is from RNAcentral.
UACCAGCACCCCGAGUGGUCGGGACGAUUAUUGGGCCUAAAGCAUCCGUAGCCGGUCCUACAAGUCUUCCGUUAAAUCCACCUGCUCAACAGAUGGGCUGCGGAAGAUACUAUAGGGCUAGGAGGCGGGAGAGGCAAGCGGUACUCAGUGGGUAGGGGUAAAAUCCUCUGAUCCAUUGAAGACCACCAGUGGCGAAGGCGGCUUGCCAGAACGCGCUCGACGGUGAGGGAUGAAAGCUGGGGGAGCAAACCAG